This 97-nucleotide microRNA precursor is filed under the name Chelydra serpentina (North American snapping turtle). RNAcentral describes it as "mir-10a". The stretch from base 8 to 82 matches the Rfam family "mir-10 microRNA precursor family". Rfam says of the family: In this case the mature sequence comes from the 5' arm of the precursor. The extents of the hairpin precursors are not generally known and are estimated based on hairpin prediction. The products are thought to have regulatory roles through complementarity to mRNA. The record is from RNAcentral. Lineage: Eukaryota; Metazoa; Chordata; Testudines; Chelydridae.
CUGUCUUCUAUAUGUACCCUGUAGAUCCGAAUUUGUGUAAAGGAAGUUGUGUCACAAAUUCGUAUCUAGGGGAAUAUGUAGUUGACACAAACACUAC